GACACACAGCCAUUGUGGAUCGUGAACUAAUAAUUAUAGAGUCAUAUUAUGAUAUUUUUCUAGCUGAGAUCGACAUUACGUACCUUUGAAUAAUGUUUACUAUUUGUUGAUAAUUUUCUUGUGGUUUUCUCAUUGAGUCAAAGAUUAUCAACCGGUUCUUGGGAAUUUCAAUGACGAUGAGUAUCCAGUGAAAGUUGUUUACACAUAUAUAUAGUCAGGCCUAUAUAUAACUAUAAAACUUGUCUCGAGUAAUAAUAAGUAAAAUAAAAUAUGCAUGCACUUAAUAACUAUAUAACUCACUCGAAGUUGAAGGGGAAGAGUAUUUUUUGUUUUUCUUUUUGGUUCACAAAGAACCUCAUAAGAUUGGUGCAUACUUCUGUCUCAUGAGCUGCUGUCCACACUGCCUAUGGAGCCUUGAAAACAAUAUAAGGGUCAACGAACCCAAUACUAUUGUCAUUUCUCAUUCUGAGCUCUCUCAUUUGGUGCCUGCAUAUAUACAUACAAAUUCUAAGUGUGUAAGGAUUAUAUACAUGUAAUUAAAGAAGUUAGAAGUAUAAUAAAAAGAAAAAAAAUACUUAC
This 579-nucleotide long non-coding RNA is filed under the name Sorghum bicolor (sorghum). RNAcentral describes it as "long non-coding RNA (SBIC_LNC017348)". The record is from RNAcentral. Lineage: Eukaryota; Viridiplantae; Streptophyta; Magnoliopsida; Poales; Poaceae.